This is a long non-coding RNA of Rana temporaria (common frog), 1129 nucleotides long. RefSeq lists it as uncharacterized. The record is from RefSeq and is a predicted model, not a curated record. Lineage: Eukaryota; Metazoa; Chordata; Amphibia; Anura; Ranidae. The transcript is spliced from 2 exons.
UGUGCUUGUGCAAGUGUGUGUGUGUGUGCGUUGUAAUGAAUGCUCCUCCCUCGUUCCCUUUGCUAGGAAUGAACAGUCUGUCAGCAGCCAGGAAGAGAGAAGCAGCUUGUAGGGAAUAAUGUGUUGCUGUGUGCUCUAAUGCUGUCUACCUGUCUUCAGCUACAAGUACAGGCAAAACUUUCCUGAUAACUUGCCUGCUGUUUUGCAGCCCUUUCUGCUAUAGGGGCUGCUGGCAUACUCCAUAAGUCUGUCUGGAGCAAGAUGCAACAUUGGGCAGCAUGGUAUCACCAGGUGGACCUCAUAUUUGGAUCAAGAUGACCCCAGUUAUCUUUCUGAUGAUUACUUCUUCACUGCUGAACUCCCCAUGCCAAGGUCUUCCCAACAACAAUGAUGCAAUCAAGAUUUUCAUGAACAUCCAGCAGAUGCAUGCCUCAUACUGUGCUUUCCAUCAGCCUCUAGAAAGUAGCAGGUGAAUCACUUGACCCUUGUGGUAUGUGGUCAAAUUCAAAGCAUCCCAAAGGACAGAUAAAAGCCAAAUUCUCUUGAUCUUCCGGGUGUAUUGGGAUCUGAUGGUAGUAAUUUCUUAAGUCCAGAUCACUGAACCAUCUGCUGCCCACCAGGCAGUUCAAGGCAUCUUCUAUCCAGGGGGUAGUGUACUAUCAAGGAAUGCUUUUCUUGUUCCAAAUACUGUAGUCAACAAAUAUCCAUAAAAACCCACUGUUCUUUCUACAUCAUUAAGAGAAGCAUAAGGAUUUCUAAACAGCUUUUCCCCGGGUAACAUUCUCCCGGAGUGCUCUCUGAAAGGACAAUCUUCUUUUAAACUUAUGCAAUGCAAUUCUAUACCAGGCUCUUUGGGUCGGCUUGUGCAAAAAUAAAAAUAAAAAGAGUGUGAGGUCCUCCCAAAAAUCCAUACCAGAGUUUAUCCAAGCAUGCGGUCUGCCAGGUCAGGAAAGGAAGGGAGGAGUGAUUUCCCCCCAAAUCACACCAGGCCACAUGCUAUCAACAUGGGGUACCUCCACCAACACAAAAACCUUGUCUUCAUGUUGAUGAGGAAGAGAGUCUCUUACCCACAACCUUGAUCCAGUGUUUAUGGAGGUCUAUGCAUUACUGAUUUACCCAAAAAAAUAAA